This 147-nucleotide non-coding RNA is filed under the name Rhizobium sp. RNAcentral's name for it is "FMN sequence". It matches the Rfam family "FMN riboswitch aptamer (RFN element)". Rfam says of the family: The RFN element is a highly conserved domain that is found frequently in the 5'-untranslated regions of prokaryotic mRNAs that encode for flavin mononucleotide (FMN) biosynthesis and transport proteins. RNAcentral also lists the same sequence under 1 other name. The record is from RNAcentral. Lineage: Bacteria; Pseudomonadati; Pseudomonadota; Alphaproteobacteria; Hyphomicrobiales; Rhizobiaceae.
AACCGUUCUCAGGGCGGGGUGCAAUUCCCCACCGGCGGUAUCGGGAGUGAUCCCGGAGCCCGCGAGCGCUUUCACGCAAGUGGAAGGUCAGCAGAUCCGGUGAGAUGCCGGAGCCGACGGUUAAAGUCCGGAUGGAAGAGAACAACG